UAAUGUGUAGCAGAAGUGUCAUAGGCAGA
This 29-nucleotide non-coding RNA is filed under the name Rattus norvegicus (Norway rat). Lineage: Eukaryota; Metazoa; Chordata; Mammalia; Rodentia; Muridae. The record is from RNAcentral.